UUAGAGGCCGCUAUGAGCUCAGAGGAGGCCAGAACGGUCCAUCGGAGACUGGAGGGAGGCCGGCAGGGGGAAGGGGAACUGCCAGAGACCCUCCACCAGCAGCAGGAGCAGCACAUCCCUGAGGCCUCAGAGAUGUGCUGCCAUCUAAAUGGCAUAAUCAGCCAGAAGAAAAUGGACUAUUCAGUCCUAGAAACCAAUAUAGAUCCACUUUGAAUUCCACCAGCUGCUGGUGCCAGAAGUGGCAACUCACUUGUGUGCAGUGACUGCUAAACUCAAGAUUUUUGUACCUGACUGCAAACCCAAUAUGAAGUUGAUCUUCACACACGGUGGGAGACAUGUCCUCGUGCUCCUGGGGAAUGUGUGUGAAUAUUGCAGCCACCGGAGUGGAGCCAAUUGCCUGUGAUUUCCCUAUCUGUAUAAGUGUUUUGUUUGUUUGUUUUGCUGCUGUUCUGUAUAUUAUGGUCCUAAUGUGUAUUUUUUAAAAAACUUUUAUUUAGCUUUGUAGUUUUAUAUUCCAGUUUGUGUAUCUGUUUUAUAGUCGAUUGUUUUACAUGUUUUGUAAACCGCUUUGAGGUUGUUUUAAUGGAGCUUGGUAUAAAAAGAUGAUAAAUAAACAAACAGCUAAAAUCCA
Long non-coding RNA from Hemicordylus capensis (graceful crag lizard), 631 nucleotides. RefSeq lists it as uncharacterized. Lineage: Eukaryota; Metazoa; Chordata; Lepidosauria; Squamata; Cordylidae. The record is from RefSeq and is a predicted model, not a curated record. The transcript has 3 exons.